RNAcentral lists this ribosomal RNA (476 nucleotides) under uncultured bacterium. RNAcentral's name for it is "bacterial SSU rRNA". It matches the Rfam family "Bacterial small subunit ribosomal RNA", at positions 767 to 1231 of the family's 1533-position model. The record is from RNAcentral.
AGCAAAUAGAUACCCAGGUAGUCCACGCCCUAAACGAUGUGCACUAGAUCGUGGAGGCUCUGACGCCAUCAUGGUCGAAGUUAAAUGCUAAGUGCACCGCCUGGGGAGUACGGUCGCAAGGCUAAAACUCAAAGAAAUUGACGGGGCGUCACACAAGCGGUGGAGCAUGUGGCUCAAUUCGUAAGCAACGCGAAGAAACCCUUAUCCUAGGCUUGACAUGUAUGGAUUAGGUCGUGGAAACACGGCUGAGGCCUUCGGUACGAACAUACACAGGUGCUGCAUGGCUGUCGUCAGCUCGUGCUGUGAAGUGUCGGGUUAAGGUCCCUUAACCGAGCGAAACCCCGUACUCUCUAGUUGUCCAACAGGUAAUGCUGGGGACGUCUAGCGAGACUGCCGGUGUCAAACCGGAGGAAGGUGGGGAGUGACGUCAAGUCCGUCAUGGCCCGUUAUGCCUAGGGCUGCACACGUGCUACAAU